GGCCCAGUUUUUGCAGGCGGUAUCGACGUCUGGAUACGGACUCAUAAUCCGUCGGUUGCAGGUUCGAAGCCUGCCGGGCCCA
RNAcentral lists this transfer RNA (82 nucleotides) under Acidimicrobiia bacterium. RNAcentral describes it as "tRNA-OTHER". Lineage: Bacteria; Bacillati; Actinomycetota; Acidimicrobiia. The record is from RNAcentral. RNAcentral also lists the same sequence under 1 other name.